RNAcentral lists this ribosomal RNA (274 nucleotides) under uncultured bacterium. Its description in RNAcentral is "partial 16S ribosomal RNA". It matches the Rfam family "Bacterial small subunit ribosomal RNA", at positions 523 to 796 of the family's 1533-position model. The record is from RNAcentral.
AUACGGAGGGUGCGAGCGUUAAUCGGAAUUACUGGGCGUAAAGCGUACGUAGGCGGUUGGUUAAGUUAGAUGUGAAAGCCCCGGGCUUAACCUGGGAACUGCAUUUAAAACUGGCGAACUAGAGUUGAGUAGAGGGGAGUGGAAUUUCAGGUGUAGCGGUGAAAUGCGUAGAGAUCUGAAGGAACACCAGUGGCGAAGGCGACUCCCUGGACUCGAACUGACGCUGAGGUACGAAAGCGUGGGUAGCAAACGGGAUUAGAUACCCCAGUAGUCC